This 253-nucleotide ribosomal RNA is filed under the name uncultured bacterium. Its description in RNAcentral is "partial 16S ribosomal RNA". It matches the Rfam family "Bacterial small subunit ribosomal RNA", at positions 524 to 776 of the family's 1533-position model. The record is from RNAcentral.
UACGUAGGGUGCAAGCGUUGUCCGGAAUUAUUGGGCGUAAAGAGCUCGUAGGCGGUCUGUCGCGUCGGAUGUGAAACCUCGGGGCUCAACCCCGAGCCUGCAUUCGAUACGGGCAGACUAGAGUUCGGUAGGGGAGACUGGAAUUCCUGGUGUAGCGGUGGAAUGCGCAGAUAUCAGGAGGAACACCGGUGGCGAAGGCGGGAUCCUGGGCCAGUACUGACGCUGAGGAGCGAAAGCGUGGGUAGCGAACAGG